This 433-nucleotide ribosomal RNA is filed under the name uncultured bacterium. RNAcentral describes it as "bacterial SSU rRNA". It matches the Rfam family "Bacterial small subunit ribosomal RNA", at positions 355 to 796 of the family's 1533-position model. The record is from RNAcentral.
UCGAGGAUCUUCGGCAAUGGGCGCAAGCCUGACCGAGCGACGCCGCGUGUGCGAUGAAGGCCUUCGGGUUGUAAAGCACUGUCGAGGGGGAGAAAAGCCGCAAGGCUUGAUCGACCCCUGGAGGAAGCACGGGCUAAGUUCGUGCCAGCAGCCGCGGUAAGACGAACCGUGCGAACGUUGUUCGGAAUCACUGGGCUUAAAGGGUGCGUAGGCUGGCAGGCAAGUCAGGGGUGAAAUCCCACGGCUUAACCGUGGAAGUGCCUUUGAUACUGCUUGUCUGGAGGGGGAUAGGGGCGUGCGGAACUUCCGGUGGAGCGGUGAAAUGCGUAGAUAUCGGAAGGAACACCGGUGGCGAAAGCGGCGCGCUGGAUCCCUACUGACGCUGAGGCACGAAAGCCAGGGGAGCAAACGGGAUUAGAUACCCCUGUAGUCC